Antechinus flavipes (yellow-footed antechinus) is the source of this 3480-nucleotide long non-coding RNA. RefSeq lists it as uncharacterized. Lineage: Eukaryota; Metazoa; Chordata; Mammalia; Dasyuromorphia; Dasyuridae. The record is from RefSeq and is a predicted model, not a curated record. The transcript is spliced from 3 exons.
CCUCCCCGCCUCUGCCGGACCAGAACGUGCCCGCUCUAGGCUGAAGCGAAGGCGGAGGCAAGACCAGGGAAAGUACUCAGUAAACGGAGAAGGGCGGGGCUUGUGUAAAACGAGGUGCCCAUGCUCUCCUGCUCUUUGAUCUCCAAGUAUCUGUGGUUACUCCACCGGACUUUGUCUCCCACCUCCUUCCAUCUUGUCUCUCGUUCCCACUGCGUUCGUUUCUAAACCUAGAUUCUCUCCGCCUUACUUCUAGCAGGAUCACAGAAUUUAAAGUUGCAAGACUGCAAAGUCGAAGGUCAUCGAGUGAAAUUCUUUUUGCAAAAAGGAGAGAAUGAAAAUCCAAGAGUGUAGUGACUGAUCACACGAGUCACGAGGUGCAGAGCUAAGAUUAAAAUCUCCACCUUCCAAUCUUAAAUUCAUCUCUCUCUCCCUCUUUAAUCCAUCCUACACUCAUUUCUCUACGGUGAAUCAAUACACUUACUCUCCUAUUCAAAAAUCUUAAGUGACUGUUGAAUGCCUACAGGCUAAAAUCCAAAUUCUUCCGCCACUAAUCACUACCUUUUUCCAGUUUUAACUUUCAUUUAUCCACUGUCUCCCACCCUAAAAUCUACAUUUAAAUAAAACUGUACAAGAUCUUGGCUCCCCACCCCACCCCCCCAAAAAAAUUUCACCUUUUCCCACCUAUAUCUAAGAACCAUCUGAAAAUUUUUCUCCCAUUUCUUGAAUCUUACUCAUUUUUAAACCCCAACUCAGAAUGUCUCCUGGGAGCUUUCUCAGCCAAUGGAGAAAUAAAUGCUCUUCACUUUUGUUUUUAUAUCUCUCAGGUACUCACCCCAUUCUGCCGAGUACCACUAUUAGGUGAUCCUAUACAUAUCUAUACUACCUUAGCUCCUUAUCUCUCGGUGUCUCACUGCACACGAUAAACAUUUAAUAAAUAGCGGUAGCAGAAUCCUAUGAAAGGAAAAUCAGGAGAUCACAGAUUAAAAGCCAGAAGGGACUUCAGAGACUCCCUCAUUUUAUACAGGAGGAAACUGAGGCCCAGAGAGGUUAAAUGAUUUGCCCAGUGUUCCAUGGAGUAAGCAGCAGAAUCAGGAUUUGCACCUAAGCCCUCAGACUGGAAUUCUCCUUUUUGAUUCUUAGAGGCAGUCAGAAUUAAAUGGCUUACUCAGGAUCACACAGUCAAGUCCUCCUGACUCCAAGACCAGUACCCUGUUCACUGCACCACACAGCUGCCCUAAAUUCUCUUUUUCUCUCUACCUGUCCAAAAGACCUCAGUGAGAAAUUGAGAACGUAAUAAAAAGAGUCCUGCUCUUAGCAUAAGGAGACUUGGAUAUGGGCCUUCCCUUGGACACUGGUUAGCUAUGUGACCUUAGACAGAUCAUAUAAUCUGUGACUCUAGAUCAGAGCAGAGAUACCGCUUUUGAAAGCUGGGUGGGACAGGGAACCACAAAUGGGGCUAGUUUCCAUGAAACUACAGAUGGAAUCUGGAUCAAAGACCUUAGUUCAAGUCAAGCCUCUGCAACCUGCCUAUUUCCUAAUUGGGAAAGGAAAAAAAUAGGGGUUGGACUCACUGGUCCCUAAUGAUCCUAUAUGUUCUGACAACAGCAUCAGAUGCAAAGCCUAUCUACAGGAUAAGGAUGGGAAAUCACAGACAGGCCAGAGCAUGGACAGAGGUCACAUCCUUUCUGUGACUAUUAAGUCAACAGCUGAUUGGUCAUUGGGAACUUAAACCACAAUAAACUUGCAGAUCUCUAAAGAGAGAUAGAUUUCUGGUGACCCAACUCCUCCUGGUGGGGACCUAGCCUACUGAAUAAUCAAUCUUCCAUUAUAACUGGCUUUUCCACUUCAAAGCUCUCCUCCCAAUGGUUUAUUUGUAGAUACUACAGGUGAGAUACUUCUUAACCCUUCACUUUAGAGACAGAAAGGACCCUAAUUUGGCCUUUUCAUUUUGCCAAGAAAACUAAAGCAAAGAGAUGAGAUUCAAUGAAGAUCACACUUUAAGUGGGACUAUUUUUCUAGCUAAAUAUUCCUACUUUAGAUAAGAUCUUUCUUCCCCUUCUUCCCAGUGCUUGGAACAUAACAGAUGCUUAACAAUUUUUUUUUGAUUAUUGAUUGACUCUUGGGUUUGAGAAAAGAAAUAGGAAAGAUCUCUAGUCCUCAGGGUCCUUGAGAGACUUCACUGGAAUCAGUUGAACAUCAAGGAGAUAUCAGAUCUCUUCCCAACAGAAUGUAUUUGAUAAGGAUCAGUUCAUUUUUGUCUUUGUAUAUCUCUAGUUCCCAAGAGAGAACCAGAAGGAACAUAUGAGUGGAUAUGAGUGGGAUGGGAUCCCUGACCUCAUCAGUAUAAGGAACUACUGGAACAAGGGUCAGUACUUUCUCUACAGUUUACGAGUAUCUUCUCUUCAAUUCUGAGAAGAAUAACUUGAAAGCACUGAGACUCACAGUUUAGAAAGAACGUUGACGAGGUUAAAGAGGUGAAGGUCUGGAAGCCAAUGGAUAGACUGAAGCAACCGAGCUGUCAUGCAACAAUGCGUAGGAGGAUAUGCUAACUGCCUUUAAGUAUUUGGAAGAAUUCCGUGAUGAAAAGAUGAAACUGAGACCCAGUAUCACAGAACUCAAAGGCAAGAAUUGGAGUCAGAAUUAUAACAAAAGUCUCCUAAAUUACAAAUCCAGAUCUUUCCACUAUAUCCCCUCCUUCCAAGUCUCAGAAAGGUGAUCUUUCUGCCAGAUAGGAUCAUAGAAGAAUGAGCCUAAAGUUCUCUUUGAUUCACUUUGCCCAAGGCUCACCUCAGACCUUGGAAUGAAAGCCUCCACUUUCAGCUCUGGAGCUACUGGUAUAGAUAUUUAUGGAGAUAAAGAGAUGUCUUCUCCAGAAAAAUGUGCUUUCCUUGAGAGUCAGAAGGACACAUGUGGAAUCUGGAGUCACCUUAAUUUGAACUCAGUCUCUUCUUGCUAGGAAAGUGAAUUCCUUAGCCCUGACUUAAUUCAUUCAGGCUAUUUCAAGAAGCAUUAUAAAUAAGUGCCCUAGCAAAAAAUUGGAAAAGGAGCGGAUGCCCAUCAACUGGGGAAUGGCUGAACAAGUUAUGGUAUACGAAGGUAAUGGAAUAUUAUUGUUCUAUAAAAAAUGAUGAACAAGCUGAUUAUAGAAAAGACCUGGAAAGAUUUACAUGAACUGAUUCUGAGUGAAACAAGCAGAACCAGGAAUACAUUGUACACAAAGACAGCAAGAAUGUGUGAUGAUUAUUUACAAAAGCCUUGGUUCUUCUCAGUUAUCUGAAGUAAUCCCAAUAGACUUUGGACAGAAAAUGCCAUCUGUAUCCAGAAAAAGAACUAAGGAAACUAAAUCAGCAUAUGAUAUGUUCACUUUUUUCUGUUUUUUUCUCUCUCCCAUGGUUUUUCCUUUUUGCUCUGAUUUUUUUCUCCCAACAUGAUUCAUAAAGCAAUGUCUAUUAAAAAUAAAUAAACUUACUACAAUUAUAA